This 760-nucleotide ribosomal RNA is filed under the name Krasilnikoviella sp. RNAcentral's name for it is "bacterial SSU rRNA". It matches the Rfam family "Bacterial small subunit ribosomal RNA", at positions 88 to 861 of the family's 1533-position model. Lineage: Bacteria; Bacillati; Actinomycetota; Actinomycetes; Micrococcales; Promicromonosporaceae. The record is from RNAcentral.
UGGAUCAGUGGCGAACGGGUGAGUAACACGUGAGCAACCUGCCCUCCACUUCGGGAUAAGCCUUGGAAACGGGGUCUAAUACCGGAUAUGAGCACUCAUCGCAUGGUGGGUGUUGGAAAGUUUUUCGGUGGGGGAUGGGCUCGCGGCCUAUCAGCUUGUUGGUGGGGUGAUGGCCUACCAAGGCGUCGACGGGUAGCCGGCCUGAGAGGGCGACCGGCCACACUGGGACUGAGACACGGCCCAGACUCCUACGGGAGGCAGCAGUGGGGAAUAUUGCACAAUGGGCGCAAGCCUGAUGCAGCGACGCCGCGUGAGGGAUGACGGCCUUCGGGUUGUAAACCUCUUUCAGCAGGGAAGAAGCGCAAGUGACGGUACCUGCAGAAGAAGCGCCGGCUAACUACGUGCCAGCAGCCGCGGUAAUACGUAGGGCGCAAGCGUUGUCCGGAAUUAUUGGGCGUAAAGAGCUCGUAGGCGGUCUGUCGCGUCUGGUGUGAAAUCCCGAGGCUCAACCUCGGGCUUGCAUCGGGUACGGGCAGACUAGAGUGCGGUAGGGGAGACUGGAAUUCCUGGUGUAGCGGUGGAAUGCGCAGAUAUCAGGAGGAACACCGAUGGCGAAGGCAGGUCUCUGGGCCGCAACUGACGCUGAGGAGCGAAAGCAUGGGGAGCGAACAGGAUUAGAUACCCUGGUAGUCCAUGCCGUAAACGUUGGGCACUAGGUGUGGGGCUCAUUCCACGAGUUCCGUGCCGCAGCUAACGCAUU